This 301-nucleotide ribosomal RNA is filed under the name uncultured bacterium. Its description in RNAcentral is "partial 16S ribosomal RNA". It matches the Rfam family "Bacterial small subunit ribosomal RNA", at positions 509 to 809 of the family's 1533-position model. The record is from RNAcentral.
CAGCAGCCACGGGAAUACGAAGGGUGCAAGCGUUACUCGGAAUUACUGGGCGUAAAGCGUGCGUAGGCGGUUUGUUAAGUCCGUUGUGAAAGCCCUGGGCUCAACCUGGGAAUUGCAGUGGAUACUGGGUCACUAGAGUGUGGUAGAGGAUAGUGGAAUUUCCGGUGUAGCAGUGAAAUGCGUAGAGAUCGGAAGGAACAUCUGUGGCGAAGGCGACUAUCUGGGCCAACACUGACACUGAGGCACGAAAGCGUGGGGAGCAAACAGGAUUAGAUACCCGCGUAGUCCCUGUCUCUUAUAU